AGGAGGAACAACCCCAGUGGCGGUGGCCAGCUCUGGAGCCCUGGAGUCAGCUCCCACAGUAACUACGGAGCUCUCAGCCUGUAGGGACCUGGAUGCUCCGGGGACGG
Non-coding RNA from Canis lupus familiaris (dog), 107 nucleotides. NCBI's taxonomy places the organism in Eukaryota, Metazoa, Chordata, Mammalia, Carnivora, Canidae. The record is from Rfam.